This 461-nucleotide unclassified non-coding RNA is filed under the name Allium hookeri. Its description in RNAcentral is "partial external transcribed spacer". The record is from RNAcentral. Lineage: Eukaryota; Viridiplantae; Streptophyta; Magnoliopsida; Asparagales; Amaryllidaceae.
GGGUUGUGACCGUGGCGGCAUGUGAGUUGUUAUCGGUGUGAGUUCUUCGUCAGGCUCCCUGCUUUUAUGCGGCCAACUGAUGAGUACCACAUCUUUUUAAUACCUAUGUGGUUGAUUUCGCUAGGUGUUUAGUGUUGCCUUCGUGGAAAAUUGACCGAGUUUGGAAUUGAAAGUUAAAUGAUGUUAUUUGUAUGUCCCUCCUCUAAUCCAAGUGAUUAUGAGGGGAUGUACAAAGUUGGAACCUUCUUUGGUAUUUUGAUUUUCUCCGGAAAUCAUUUUUUAUCGUUGAGUGUCCCAAAUGUUUUACGGAUGUYGUGUAUGCUUAAGAAUCUUGGGAAGCCUUCCUUGUGUGCUUAUAAUUUAUAGCUCGGUUUUGUCCGCACUUUUUGAAAGACGUCUGCACGGGUCGUGAUGCUACCUUCUUUUCGGAGGAGGAAUGCAAACGUCCUUGUGCAGGUGCC